UCUAAGGGAAUGGGUAAAGCACACCUAGA
RNAcentral lists this non-coding RNA (29 nucleotides) under Rattus norvegicus (Norway rat). The record is from RNAcentral. Lineage: Eukaryota; Metazoa; Chordata; Mammalia; Rodentia; Muridae.